AUUGAACGCUGGCGGAAUGCUUUACACAUGCAAGUCGAACGGCAGCACGGACUUCGGUCUGGUGGCGAGUGGCGAACGGGUGAGUAAUGUAUCGGAACGUGCCCAGUCGUGGGGGAUAACGUAGUGAAAAUUACGCUAAUACCGCAUACGAUCUAUGGAUGAAAGCGGGGGAUCGCAAGACCUCGCGCGAUUGGAGCGGCCGAUAUCAGAUUAGGUAGUUGGUGGGGUAAAGGCCCACCAAGCCAACGAUCUGUAGCUGGUCUGAGAGGACGACCAGCCACACUGGAACUGAGACACGGUCCAGACUACUACGGGAGGCAGCAGUGGGGAAUUAUGGACAAUGGGCGAAAGCCUGAUCCAGCCAUUCCGCGUGCAGGAUGAAGGCCCUCGGGUUGUAAACUGCUUUUGUACAGAACGAAAAGGUUUCUACUAAUACUAGGAGCUCAUGACGGUACUGUAAGAAUAAGCACCGGCUAACUACGUGCCAGCAGCCGCCGCAG
RNAcentral lists this ribosomal RNA (500 nucleotides) under uncultured bacterium. RNAcentral describes it as "partial 16S ribosomal RNA". It matches the Rfam family "Bacterial small subunit ribosomal RNA", at positions 30 to 523 of the family's 1533-position model. The record is from RNAcentral.